CUGAGGAACCAGCGCCAGAGAAGGAGGCCAGCACCGCCAGCCUUGCUGGUAAGCAGAAGCACUCAAGUUGGAGUCCAUGCACCAAACACAUUCAUUUUGCAGCUUAAGGAGGACUCCCAACGCCGGUCCUGCCGCCGCGCCGCGCCCCGCCCGCUCAGGCGCCCCAGCAGAGCCGCUGCGGAGGGUUCUGCCCAUAAUAAAGACUCCGGACCCGCCUGAGCCGCUGGCUGCCUCCCUCCUUAUCCACCCCUCGCUGACGGCCAGGUCCCAGCUGUGGAGCCCCCCUCCUCCGGCCUCGGCGUCUCGUCUGUAAAAUGGGUCUCAGCUGGGUCUCUUCUGCUAGUAGAGAGGUCAACUGAGGCCCAGCGCGGAGUGGGGGGGGGGUCCCAGUGGAGAGAGAGGCUGAAUGGGGGGCUGGGACCCAGGCCUUGCACCACUUCGCACACCUGGGUAAACUGAGUCCUGGGGAAGCCGACUACUCGACCAUGCCUGCCCGUCCUCCCCCACCCCUGACACCGGAGCUCACGCCCCCACUUCGUAAACACGGAAACUGAGGCCCUGAGUGGGGUCUUCGAGGAAGAAGUGACGUCCUUUCGCAAGCGAAGGCGAGCAGGGGACCGUGGCGCGGGUGGGAUGGGGGACCCGCCUGGGCGGCGGGGCGCAGUGGGCGGGGCCUCACUGGAGGGGUGGGGCCCUGUCCUAAGUGUUGGGGAGCCACGCAGGAAUUGGAGCAGAGGAAGGAGUGCGGGAGCCGGGACCUUGGGUUCCGCGGCGUGGGGUGGGGUGCCCGGAUGCCACUCCUAUCUCAGGGUCAAGGCCUUUUCCCGUGGGGACGCCCCCAGCCUCAGUCCCCAUUGCAGUUCCCCUCGUCCGCCCGCGGAUCCCAGGGGCUGCAGGAGGCUUUUCAGCACUUAGAGCUGCAAACUUUGUGAGGCGAUCGGCUGGCUCUCCAGCCCCCACUCCAACCCGCCCGAGGGUCCCCGGGGCCCAGCACCGCCUCUUGCCUCUUCUUCCUCCCGUCCGGAGCCGUGGGGUUGGGACAACGCCCGAAGGCUGCCUCAGUACCCCCACCACUCUGCCGCCUCAACAGGUCAGUGAAGACCCCUGAAUCAGGGAAGCCGCGGAGGAGGGAGGCCCGGUGGACCAGAAACUCUGGGGGCGCCAUAGACAGUAGCCUGCCCACUCCCUCUGCCUCUGCGCACCGUCCCUGCACAGAGGGGCUGAAACUGGUCGAGUCACUCAGAUCCAACUCCUGGCCCCAGGGAGGCCUGGGGCUCACCCUGGAUCCACCCUUAUUGACCUGUGGGGCCUCAGUUUCCCCCUCUGCACAGGAGAGGGGUCUCCUCCACCACUCGUCCAUCCCCUUCCCCAAGGACUGCAUCGUCCAUUAGGGCCCAUAGAUCACCUCUGGGCCUCAGUUUCUGUUUCGGGAUCAAUGGGGCAAGUCAGGGGCUGUCGGGCGGGCAGCCCUCUGGGAGAGUCUCUCUUCUGGCCUCAGAGGGAGGGGUCUGGCCCCCAACCUCCCUGCCUCCACAACGAGGUUCCCAACUGGCUCCCUAGAGCGAGGAGAGGAUGGCUGGGGUACAGUUCUCCUGCAGCAGGCAAUAGUGUAGGGAGGAGACAGGGAGGGUCAGUGGCCUCCUGAACACCUCCCUGGGGGGAAGCUGAGGCCUCAGGCUCAGCAGACCCCACCCAGAGUUCACUCCUCCAUCCUGGCCUCCAGUCCUGCCCCAGAGCCCCCUGUGCACCACUCCCCCACCCAUCUCUUUGCCCUGCCCUCUCCCUCCCAGCCUCCCAUAAGACCACGCAAAGAAAUGCCUGAAUCUCCAGCAAUCUGUCCCUGUCCUGCACCUGCCCUGAGCCCCACAUUUGAGCCCUUCCCUCCCCUCUCCAACUGUCUUGCCCCUGUCCACACCUAACCACAGUCCUAGUGAUCAUCUCCAGCAUAGGUCCAAUAAGGGCCAUCGCCUGCAAGCCGGGAUGGGAAAUUGAGGGUGGGAGGGUCUCUUGGCUCCUGCCCACCACAACUGCCUGUCUCAGCCCCACCGGCCUCACUAGCCCAGCUGCAGCCUCUUAAUUUCCAGCUUGUGUGUCAUCUUGUGGUGGUUUAUGGCUCCUUGGGGGCUCCCAGGCUAUGAACUCACUUUUUAUUUGUCUGCAUGGCCACCUGCAACCAGGUCCAGGGUGCCCAUCACUGUGGCCUCCUCUCAUGGCCCAUAUGCCCCCAAAUAUGGGGCCCAGGGACCACCCGGGCAGGACUCAACGUCCUUGCCCUGACCCCACAGACUGAGGGAGGGCUCAGUACUGACUGCACACAGGAGGCGUUCACUGAAUGCCCGCUGGGGAUGCUGACACUGAUGCGGGAAACGUAGACAGUGGGGCAUCAUGUCGGAGGGUCCCUGAGGGAGCAGGUGUCAGGAGGGAGGAGGGGGUGGAGGCAUCUGGAGAGGGGCAGUGAGCCCAGGGCCUCUCGAACAGUGGCCUUUCCUCCGAUAUGACCCACUGCGUGCCUGUGGUCAAGGGACUUGAUCAGACCCCCUGAAAGCCAGAUUUGGUCCCCAUCAGUCUGGAGGGCAAUGUACAAGCCCCUUCUGUCAUGGUCCCAGAGUUGGGGGCCCAAGGCGUGGCCUGGGGCUUCUUCUCAGACUAGAUGGGGACACAGUGACCCAGAGGGGAGGGGCUGCAGUGACUUCCUGUGACUGUGGGCAUUGACCCCCCCAAACCAAGAUGUCCACAAAUCAAAGAGGUGCCCAAUCAGGAAGCCCAGCUCCACCCAAGAGUGACAGUCAUGAUGUGAGGGGAACCUCAGGGUUCUCCCACCCCACCUCCCAACCCUCUUUCCGUGGGCAACCACCAGGUACACACGGGACCUGCAUACCCAUGGCCGCCUGGGGUACCUGCUGUACCCAGUGCAGCCCCAGGAGUGGGGGCCACCCUGCACCUUGGUGUGGGCUUUCAAGGCCAUUACCAGUGGCCAGUGAUGGACGGCCUGGUUCCUGAGAGACCUAGGCCCCAAAUGCAAGCACCUGUCCAUACAGGGGGCGCACAGGUGGGCAAGGCGGUGUGGUUUCUCUGCAUA
Long non-coding RNA from Bubalus bubalis (water buffalo), 3079 nucleotides. RefSeq lists it as uncharacterized. Lineage: Eukaryota; Metazoa; Chordata; Mammalia; Artiodactyla; Bovidae. The transcript has 2 exons. The record is from RefSeq and is a predicted model, not a curated record.